CCUACGGGGGGCAGCAGUGGGGAAUAUUGGACAAUGGGGGGAACCCUGAUCCAGCCAUGCCGCGUGUGUGAAGAAGGCCCUCGGGUUGUAAAGCACUUUCAGUGAGGAAGAACGCCUGGUGGUUAAUACCCAUCAGGAAAGACAUCACUCACAGAAGAAGCACCGGCUAACUCCGUGCCAGCAGCCGCGGUAAUACGGAGGGUGCGAGCGUUAAUCGGAAUUACUGGGCGUAAAGCGCGCGUAGGUGGCUUGAUAAGCCGGUUGUGAAAGCCCCGGGCUCAACCUGGGAACGGCGUCCGGAACUGUCAAGCUAGAGUGCAGGAGAGGAAGGUAGAAUUCCCGGUGUAGCGGUGAAAUGCGUAGAGAUCGGGAGGAAUACCAGUGGCGAAGGCGGCCUUCUGGACUGACACUGACACUGAGGUGCGAAAGCGUGGGUAGCAAACAGGAUUAGAUACCCGGGUAGUC
This 465-nucleotide ribosomal RNA is filed under the name Vreelandella stevensii. RNAcentral describes it as "partial 16S ribosomal RNA". It matches the Rfam family "Bacterial small subunit ribosomal RNA", at positions 338 to 795 of the family's 1533-position model. The record is from RNAcentral. Lineage: Bacteria; Pseudomonadati; Pseudomonadota; Gammaproteobacteria; Oceanospirillales; Halomonadaceae.